UACGGGGGGAGCAAGCGUUGUUCGGAUUUACUGGGCGUAAAGGGCGCGUAGGCGGUCAGCACAAGUCAGUUGUGAAAUCUCCGGGCUUAACUCGGAAAGGUCAACUGAUACUGUGCGACUAGAGUGCGGAAGGGGCAACUGGAAUUCUCGGUGUAGCGGUGAAAUGCGUAGAUAUCGGGAAGAACACCUGUGGCGAAGGCGGCUCUCUGGGACGGUACUGACGCUGAGACGCGAAAGCGUGGGGAGCGAACAGG
RNAcentral lists this ribosomal RNA (254 nucleotides) under uncultured bacterium. Its description in RNAcentral is "partial 16S ribosomal RNA". It matches the Rfam family "Bacterial small subunit ribosomal RNA", at positions 524 to 776 of the family's 1533-position model. The record is from RNAcentral.